This 253-nucleotide ribosomal RNA is filed under the name uncultured bacterium. RNAcentral's name for it is "partial 16S ribosomal RNA". It matches the Rfam family "Bacterial small subunit ribosomal RNA", at positions 524 to 776 of the family's 1533-position model. The record is from RNAcentral.
UACGUAGGGUGCAAGCGUUGUCCGGAAUUAUUGGGCGUAAAGAGCUCGUAGGCGGUCUGUCGCGUCUGCUGUGAAAACCUGGGGCUUAACCCCGGGCCUGCAGUGGGUACGGGCAGACUAGAGUGCGGUAGGGGAGACUGGAAUUCCUGGUGUAGCGGUGAAAUGCGCAGAUAUCAGGAGGAACACCGGUGGCGAAGGCGGGUCUCUGGGCCGUAACUGACGCUGAGGAGCGAAAGCCAGGGGAGCGAACGGG